Molecule: ribosomal RNA, 501 nt
Filed under: uncultured bacterium
Lineage: Bacteria
Description: partial 16S ribosomal RNA
Rfam family: Bacterial small subunit ribosomal RNA
Source: RNAcentral
AUUGAACGCUGGCGGCAGGCUUAACACACGCAAGUCGAGCGGAGAGAGGUAGCUUGCUACUGAUCUUAGCGGCGGACGGGUGAGUAAUGCUUAGGAAUCUGCCUAUUAGUGGGGGACAACAUUUCGAAAGGAAUGCUAAUACCGCAUACGUCCUACGGGAGAAAGCAGGGGAUCUGCGGACCUUGCGCUAAUAGGUGAGCCUAAGUCGGAUUAGCUAGUUGGUGGGGUAAAGGCCUACCGAGGCGACGAUCGGUAGCGGGGCUGAGAGGAUGAUCCGCCACACUGGGACUGAGACACGGCCCAGACUCCUACGGGAGGCAGCAGUGGGGAAUAUUGGACAAUGGGGGGAACCCUGAUCCAGCCAUGCCGCGUGUGUGAAGAAGGCCUUAUGGUUGUAAAGCACUUUAAGCGAGGAGGAGGCUACUUUAGUUAAUACCUAGAGAUAGUGGACGUUACUCGCAGAAUAAGCACCGGCUAACUCUGUGCCAGCAGCCGCGGUAA